This 365-nucleotide long non-coding RNA is filed under the name Nicotiana tabacum (common tobacco). Its description in RNAcentral is "long non-coding RNA (NTAB_LNC014042)". The record is from RNAcentral. Lineage: Eukaryota; Viridiplantae; Streptophyta; Magnoliopsida; Solanales; Solanaceae.
UUGAUGUUGCUGGAUAACACCUGGUGAAUUUAGACUGCUUUUGGGGUAAGCGAUUUAACAAUUGCUCAUUUAAAAUUAUAUAUGUUAUUUUACCAAUAGUUAUUUAUCAUUUUUUCAAUCUUUUGUACUGACAGGUUUUGAAGACUGAAGCUACAAGUCAAGAUUCAAGUUUAGAAUAUGCACAAGCUCAUUAUUAUUUUGCUAAAUGUUAUGCAAAACUUGAUAUCAUAGUCUAGCUCAGGAUGAUAGCUAAGUUUUUUUUGUUGAGGUGUUGAGAAAACAUAGAAAGUAACAUCAUCAUGGGAUUUCAACUUGAUAUCUUAUAUUUUUAUAUCUAGAUUUUUCAAUAACAAUUUGAUAUUGAU